CGGCGAGUGAAGAGGGAAUAGCCCAGCACCGAAGCCUGUAGUCAUUUGAUUACUAGGCAAUGUGGUGUUAAGGUAUGUUCAUGGCGUACUGCUUUACCCUAAGUCCAAUUUUGAGUGUGGCAAUUGGAAUGGCCCAAAGAGGGUGUAAGGCCCGUGUGGGUAAAGAUCAAGAAUGCCAGUAUUAGCUUUGAACAAACCUUGGAGUCGGGUUGUUUGUGAAUGCAGCCCAAAGUAGGUGGUAAACUCCAUCUAAGGCUAAAUACUAACACGAGUCCGAUAGCGAACAAGUACCGUGAGGGAAAGUUGAAAAGUACUUUGAAGAGAGGGUAAACAGUGCGUGAAACCGCUUAAAGGUAAACGGGUGGAGUUGAACUGGAAGCCUUGAGAAUUCAGCUGAUAAGUAUGACGUGUUGACUGGCGCUUAGAGACUGCUUAGUUGCAGGUUUUUGCUCCUUGUGAGUAGAAAUGCGCGAUACACUUAACAAGUGUUGCGUGCUCUAAGUGUAGCAAGUUAGCUUGUUAGUGCACUUUCUCAGGGUGUUCACCACGACCGGAAUUGCUGACUGUUUGUUAUGGUUAAACCGAUUAAAUUUGGUACUUGUAUUAAAUUUAAUUGGGAUGGCAGGUAGCUUAAUGAUUAUUAUUUUCUAAUAAUAGUUAUUCAGUGUAAUCAGCUAAUCAUGACGAAUCUGUGCAGUAUUUCGGAGAUGAAGGGUUUUAGUAUAGGCAUUGUGGUUGAUUGGAUUGCUUAAGUUUGGUUAGCGUUACUUGCUUAUGUAAGUACGGUAAUAGCUUGAGUUGUCGAAUUAAUGGCAUUGCUGUUGUAUUAAAGCCAAAAGUCAGUGGUGUUGUGGUAGACUAUCCACCCGACCCGUCUUGAAACACGGACCAAGGAGUUUAACAUGUGUGCAAGUCAUUGGGCGUUACGAAACCCACAGGCGUAGUGAAAGUAAAGGCCAAGUUAAAUUGGCUAAGGUGAGAUCUUGUUGACUUACUACUAGGGGUAGAAGUUGCAAGCGCAUCACCGGCCCGUCUUAUAAUGUAUUUCAUUGGGGCGGAGCAUGAGCAUACAUGUUGAGACCCGAAAGAUGGUGAGCUAUGCUUGCGCAGGUUGAAGCCAGAGGAAACUCUGGUGGAGGACCGUAGCGAUUCUGACGUGCAAAUCGAUCGUCUAACGUGAGUAUAGGGGCGAAAGACUAAUCGAACCAUCUAGUAGCUGGUUCCCUCUGAAGUUUCCCUCAGGAUAGCUGGCAUUUAUUCGCUAAACAGUUUUAUCCGGUAAAGCGAAUGAUUAGAGGUAUUGGGGAUAAAAUAUCCUCAACCUAUUCUCAAACUUUAAAUGGGUGAGAAGCUUUGCUCGCUUAAAUGGAGCAGAGCAUUGAAUGUGAGUGCCAAGUGGGCCAUUUUUGGUAAGCAGAACUGGCGCUGUGGGAUGAACCAAACGUUCGGUUAAAGUGCCAAAUGUAACGCUCAUGAGACCCCACAA
Molecule: ribosomal RNA, 1486 nt
Filed under: Aporocotylidae sp. ex_G_cf_poecilura_22
Lineage: Eukaryota; Metazoa; Platyhelminthes; Trematoda; Strigeidida; Aporocotylidae
Description: partial large subunit ribosomal RNA
Rfam family: Eukaryotic large subunit ribosomal RNA
Source: RNAcentral